GCCAAACGAUCAAACGAUCCAAGUUCGUUCCGCCCCGUCUCCCUGCAGAACUGCGAUGUCAAGAUCCUCUGCCGGGCGCUCACCACGCGGUUGCAGCAGCAGAUUGGGGGGGUGAUCGACGUCGACCAGUCCGGAUUCGUCUCCGAGCGAAGCAUCUCCGAGAACUUCGUCUAUGCGACCGAAGUGGUGCAAUGCUGCCGCGCGAGGAAAGCCCCCGCCCUCGUCCUCAAGCUGGACUUCGCUAAAGCCUUCGACUCUGUUAAUUGGGCGUGCCUUCGUCGAGUCAUGGAGGUGCGCGGCUUCCCUGAGCAAUGGUGCGCGUGGGUGGACGCCAUCCUCCGUUCAUCAUGCUCCGCGGUGCUGCUCAACGGAGUGCCGGGGGCGUGGUUCCCCGUCAGGUGUGGGCUUCGCCAAGGAGACCCGAUGUCGCCCUACCUCUUCCUCUUGGUGGCGGAUGUCCUGCAACGGAUGGUGCGGCGCGACCCCCUGCUCCAACACCCGGUGGUGGAGGGGGGAGCACCGAUUGUGCUUCAAUACGCCGAUGACACACUUAUCAUCAUCCGCGCAUCGGUGGAGGCGGCGGCGCGGCUACGACGCAUCCUGGACGACUUCGCCGCGGCCACCGGGCUGGGGAUCAACUACGGCAAAAGCACCCUGGUGCCGAUUCACGUCGCGGACGAGGUGGUGGCUGGGGCUGCGGGGGCCCUCUCCUGCUAUGUACAGGGGUUCCUGCAACCCUACUUGGGCCUGCCGUUGUCGUGGGACAAGCUGACGGCGGCCGACUUCGCGCCGAUGCUUGCUAAGGUCGAUGCCUACCUGGCCGGGUGGCGGGCGCGCCUACUCUCCCCCGCCGGGCGCCUGGUCCUGAUCAAUGCGGUGCUGGACUCGCUCCCCACGUACGCCAUGGCCGCCGUCGUCCUUCCCCCGGCCGUGGUUAAAGCCAUGGAUACGCUUCGCCGGGCAUUCCUAUGGGCGGCGGCCGACCGUGCCACGGGAGCCCAGUGCCUGGUUGCAUGGAGCCAGGUCUGCAGGGCGAAGUGCGAGGGGGGCUGGGGGUGCGGGACCUUACCACCCAGAACAUGUGCCUGCUGCUCAAGAUGCUGCAUCGUCUACACUCGUCGGAGUCGAGGUGGGCGUCGUGGGUUUGGGCGGAGCUGA
RNAcentral lists this ribosomal RNA (1158 nucleotides) under Triticum aestivum (bread wheat). RNAcentral describes it as "partial small subunit ribosomal RNA". Lineage: Eukaryota; Viridiplantae; Streptophyta; Magnoliopsida; Poales; Poaceae. The record is from RNAcentral.